CCCCCCAUCAAGAGAGCGGUUUCCCCGCCCGCCGCUCUUUUUUAUAUAAAUCCGAUAAAGGGUGGCAGUUAUAAGCUAUCAUCAGAAACUUGUUUUAUAAUUGUAAACUCUCACUAAAUUUGACUUAUAUUAAAAGUCUAUAUACCGCCGUUUCUGAAGUAAUAAUAACGAAAUAUCCAAACAAACAACCAUUAACAAAAUCAGGUCAAGGUAUAGCCAAUAUAAAAGUAAAAAUUGAGUUACAUAUAAUAAAAAAUUAGUCGAAAAUUGUGUCAAAACACAAAUGAAAACAGAAUCUAAAAACCAAUUAAA
This 312-nucleotide ribosomal RNA is filed under the name Priscula venezuelana. RNAcentral's name for it is "partial 12S ribosomal RNA". Lineage: Eukaryota; Metazoa; Arthropoda; Arachnida; Araneae; Pholcidae. The record is from RNAcentral.